RNAcentral lists this transfer RNA (72 nucleotides) under Medicago truncatula (barrel medic). It matches the Rfam family "tRNA". From Rfam's summary of the family: Transfer RNA (tRNA) molecules are approximately 80 nucleotides in length. Their secondary structure includes four short double-helical elements and three loops (D, anti-codon, and T loops). Lineage: Eukaryota; Viridiplantae; Streptophyta; Magnoliopsida; Fabales; Fabaceae. The record is from Rfam by way of RNAcentral.
UGGGGUGUGGCCAAGCGGUAAGGCGACGGGUUUUGGUUCUGUUAUUCGAAGGUUUGAAUCCUUUCGUCCCAG